AUUGAACGCUGGCGGCAGGCCUAACACAUGCAAGUCGAGCGGCAGCGGGAAAGUAGCUUGCUACUUUUGCCGGCGAGCGGCGGACGGGUGAGUAAUGCCCGGGAAAUUGCCCAGUCGAGGGGGAUAACAGUUGGAAACGACUGCUAAUACCGCAUACGCCCUACGGGGGAAAGCAGGGGACCUUCGGGCCUUGCGCGAUUGGAUAUGCCCAGGUGGGAUUAGCUAGUUGGUGAGGUAAUGGCUCACCAAGGCGACGAUCCCUAGCUGGUCUGGGAGGAUGAUCAGCCACACUGGAACUGGGAAGCGGUCCAGAGUCCAACGGGAGGCAGCAGUGGGGAAUAUUGCACAAUGGGGGAAACCCUGAUGCAGCCGUGCCGCGUGUGUGAAGAAGGCCUUCGGGUUGUAAAGCACUUUCAGCGAGGAGGAAAGGUUGAUGCCUAAUACGUAUCAACUGUGACGUUACUCGCAGAAGAAGCACCGGCUAACUCCGUGCCAGCAGCCGCCGUAA
RNAcentral lists this ribosomal RNA (508 nucleotides) under uncultured bacterium. RNAcentral describes it as "partial 16S ribosomal RNA". It matches the Rfam family "Bacterial small subunit ribosomal RNA", at positions 29 to 523 of the family's 1533-position model. The record is from RNAcentral.